This 460-nucleotide ribosomal RNA is filed under the name uncultured bacterium. RNAcentral describes it as "partial 16S ribosomal RNA". It matches the Rfam family "Bacterial small subunit ribosomal RNA", at positions 338 to 795 of the family's 1533-position model. The record is from RNAcentral.
CCUACGGGUGGCAGCAGUGAGGAAUAUUGGUCAAUGGGCGCGAGCCUGAUCCAGCCACGUAGCGUGAAGGAUGACUGCCCUACGGGUUGUAAACUUCUUUUAUAAAGGAAUAAAGUGAGGCACGUGUGCCUUUUUGUAUGUACUUUAUGAAUAAGGAUCGGCUAACUCCGUGCCAGCAGCCGCGGUAAUACGGAGGAUCCGAGCGUUAUCCGGAUUUAUUGGGUUGAAAGGGAGCGUAGAUGGGUUGUUAAGUCAGUUGUGAAAGUUUGCGGCUCAACCGUAAAAUUGCAAUUGAUACUGGCAGUCUCGAGUACAGGUGAGGUAAGCGGAAUUCGUGGUGUAGCGGUGAAAUGCUUAGAUAUCACGAAGAACUCCGAUUGCGAAGGCAGCUUACUAAACUGACACUGACAUUGAUGCUCGAAAGUGUGGGUAUCAAACAGGAUUAGAUACCCUUGUAGUC